This 22-nucleotide microRNA is filed under the name Capitella teleta. RNAcentral's name for it is "Cte-Mir-2000_5p* (star (passenger))". Lineage: Eukaryota; Metazoa; Annelida; Polychaeta; Capitellidae. The record is from RNAcentral.
CUGGAAGUUGGGAUGGCUUUUA